Molecule: long non-coding RNA, 328 nt
Organism: Hibiscus syriacus
Lineage: Eukaryota; Viridiplantae; Streptophyta; Magnoliopsida; Malvales; Malvaceae
Exons: 3
Source: RefSeq, a predicted model, not a curated record
UUCUAUUAUUAUUUUUUGUGCUCUAUUAUUUGUUCAAUUAUUCUUAGAUUGGAUCUACUCUUUGCAAUUCGAGUUCCCAAAAUUCGCAAUCUGUGGCAUACUGGAUAGAUGUACUAUGCAGAUAUCACGUACAGCUCUUCUGCAAGGAAGAGCUCUGGAUGGGCUAUUUCUGAAGGGGCCGCUCCUACAAGGUUUCUAUGUCUUUGGCUUUUGUUUUGUGGGGACUUCUCUCUCUUCAGUUUGUGGCUUUGUCAUGGUGAUGGUCAUAGCCUUGUAUUAGAUGUCUUGUUCAUCUGGAUUUUGUACGUCCACCUCUCCUCCGUACAGG